AACGAACGCUGGCGGCAUGCCUAACACAUGCAAGUCGAACGAGACCUUCGGGCCUAGUGGCGCUCGGGUGCGUACCGCGUGGGAACCUGCCCUUAGGUUCGGAAUAACUCCCCGAAAGGGGUGCUAAUACCGGAUAAUGUCUUAGGACAAAAGAUUUAUCGCCUUUGGAUGGGCCCGCGUUGGAUUAGGUGGUUGGUAGGGUAAAAGCAUACCAAGGCGAGGAUCCAGAGCUGGUCUGAGAGGAUGAUAAGUCACACUGGGACUGAGACACGGCCCAGACUGCUACGGGAGGCAGCAGUGGGGAAUAUUGGACGAUGGGCGAAGGUCUGAUACAGCAAUGCCGGGGAAGUGAUGAAGGCGUUAGGGUUGUAAAGCUGUUUUACCCGGGAUGAUAAUGACAGUACCGGGAGAAGAAGCACCGGCUAACUCCGUG
Molecule: ribosomal RNA, 433 nt
Filed under: uncultured bacterium
Lineage: Bacteria
Description: partial 16S ribosomal RNA
Rfam family: Bacterial small subunit ribosomal RNA
Source: RNAcentral